UACAGAGGAGCCAAGCGUUGUCCGGAUUGACUGGGCGUAAAGCGCACGCAGGCGGAUCUGCGCGUGGGGUGUGAAAUCGAACGGCUUAACCGUUCGCCGCCAUCCCAUACGGCAGGUCUUGAGCGAUGCAGAGGUCGGUGGAAUUGCCGGUGUAGUGGUGAAAUGCGUAGAGAUCGGCAGGAACACCCAGGGGGAAACCAGCCGACUGGGCAUCUGCUGACGCUGAGGUGCGAGAGCGUGGGGAGCGAACCGG
This 253-nucleotide ribosomal RNA is filed under the name uncultured bacterium. Its description in RNAcentral is "partial 16S ribosomal RNA". It matches the Rfam family "Bacterial small subunit ribosomal RNA", at positions 524 to 776 of the family's 1533-position model. The record is from RNAcentral.